RNAcentral lists this long non-coding RNA (636 nucleotides) under Heterocephalus glaber (naked mole-rat). Its description in RNAcentral is "lncRNA (ENSHGLG00000048970.1)". Lineage: Eukaryota; Metazoa; Chordata; Mammalia; Rodentia; Bathyergidae. The record is from RNAcentral.
CGGGCACUGACCCCGAGGUGUUAGGCGAUUGGGUAUUUUGACCUAGAAUCAGAAGCGGUAACCAGUAGAAAAGGAAAAACUGUGGGAAUCUAGCCAAUAGUGAGGAAGGACCUGCGUUUUUGGUGACUUCCCGGGGAGGAUCUUGACGUGUAGUUCAGGCCUUACGUAUCCCAGGCUGUCCUGGAACCUGCAAUCCUCCUGGCUCAGCCUCCCGCGUAGCUGGGGUUACAGGCGUUCGUCACCAGGCCUGUUGGUACCCAUCUACCUCUGUGUUGUGCUUAAGAAAUACCAGUGGUUGCUCUUCAUAGUAGGCUUUCCAUAAGAUCGAGGGAUUGACAACACACCCGCCACUACCAAGGAACACUAUGAUAUUCAGGUUCACGUAAGGAAACUCCACAAGGUCCUGCAGCUGCGAGCGCCACAGAGGACUCGACCACCAGCUGCCGUAAGCAGUCCAACUGCCUGUGGGCAAGGGACAAAGGGCGCUGUCACGGUGGGAUGCAGCUGGUGCACUGCCUUCCCCAGAGACCCUGAACUCACCUGCUGGAGUCAGGAAUCUGGGUCAGGGCCUCAUACGCCUGGCUGUUGUGACCCAGAUCCAAGUGAUGUUUGAAGAUGCAUGUCCUUAAGGUGGCC